AUCCUUACCUGACAGGGGAGAUACUAUGGUCACAAAGGUGGUUUUCCCAGGGUGAGAUUGAUCCAUUGCACUGGGGAUCUGCUGACCCUUGGGAUUUCCCCACAUGGGGGAAACUUGACUACAGGAUUUGUGUUGUGGGGCAGUUGCAUA
This 150-nucleotide small nuclear RNA is filed under the name Dasypus novemcinctus (nine-banded armadillo). Its description in RNAcentral is "U1 spliceosomal RNA (ENSDNOG00000026582.2)". It matches the Rfam family "U1 spliceosomal RNA". Rfam says of the family: U1 is a small nuclear RNA (snRNA) component of the spliceosome (involved in pre-mRNA splicing). Its 5' end forms complementary base pairs with the 5' splice junction, thus defining the 5' donor site of an intron. There are significant differences in sequence and secondary structure between metazoan and yeast U1 snRNAs, the latter being much longer (568 nucleotides as compared to 164 nucleotides in human). Lineage: Eukaryota; Metazoa; Chordata; Mammalia; Cingulata; Dasypodidae. The record is from RNAcentral.